RNAcentral lists this ribosomal RNA (429 nucleotides) under Gemmatimonadota bacterium. RNAcentral's name for it is "Gemmatimonadetes bacterium partial 16S ribosomal RNA". It matches the Rfam family "Bacterial small subunit ribosomal RNA", at positions 355 to 776 of the family's 1533-position model. Lineage: Bacteria; Pseudomonadati; Gemmatimonadota. The record is from RNAcentral.
UAGGGAAUCUUCGGCAAUGGACGAAAGUCUGACCGAGCAACGCCGCGUGAGUGAAGAAGGUUUUCGGAUCGUAAAACUCUGUUGUUAGAGAAGAACAAGGACGUUAGUAACUGAACGUCCCCUGACGGUAUCUAACCAGAAAGCCACGGCUAACUACGUGCCAGCAGCCGCGGUAAUACGUAGGUGGCAAGCGUUGUCCGGACUUAUUGGGCGUAAAGCGAGCGCAGGCGGUUUCUUAAGUCUGAUGUGAAAGCCCCCGGCUCAACCGGGGAGGGUCAUUGGAAACUGGGAGACUUGAGUGCAGAAGAGGAGAGUGGAAUUCCAUGUGUAGCGGUGAAAUGCGUAGAUAUAUGGAGGAACACCAGUGGCGAAGGCGGCUCUCUGGUCUGUAACUGACGCUGAGGCUCGAAAGCGUGGGGAGCAAACAGG